AGUGAUUUAACAAUUGAAAAUACGUCUGACCAUAGAAAACAAAUGAAUGCAAACAUUACUUCAUUUAUUUCUGAUCUUUCAAAGAGGAAUAUCGCCAGCAAAAUGAUUUCUCUCACUCGAUUUUCGAGAUUUCUUCCUCUGCAAAGUGGUAAAAACGAGAGUGUCAGGAGUUACACUCAAACGAAGAUGAUGGCUGGAAUAGCAAUGAAUCGAUUUGAAAAGAAGAAGAUCAGAAUGCUGGGCCUAAUAUUCUGGGCGGGGAUGCUAGUCCCGCCAUUCCUCAGUCUCACACAGAUUAAAAAAUUCAACAAAGAAGAAGACGCCGAGGAAUAACUCCCGCCACUAGGCUAUUUCACACGAGAAACCGUUAUCCCCGAAAACCGCCAACUUCCCCAAAUACAUGAGAAUUCAAAUAAAAUCUAAAAUAGCAUCUGCGCAUGUACCCAACAUCUCGUCUAUUCGAAUUACACACAUAUUACCUAUACAUAACACGCCAGUUAUUUCAAGCACAUACCUAAACCCUUUUCUCACUUCUCUCUCAUUUCUCCGAUCAUAUCUGCACUUACACGAGAUCCAUAACAAUCAUCAAAUCAUCCACAGCCCCUAAAUGAUAAGAUACCUAUCUCAACACUCAAUACUUAUCGCGGAAUAAUAUGCCCCAGGCGUCUCUUUUCAAUUACAAUUCCAGGAACGUGACAUGUUAGUCAUCUACAAUUUUUUUUUUUAUUCGUUCCAAUUCUGAAUGUCACAUUUUUGUAGGCAAAAAUCUGUUAUUCGCACUACAUGUUGAGCAUACACGGGACAUUUAAAUAAAUAAAACGAAAUGCAUGAACGAAAUUUUGAAACAAAA
Molecule: long non-coding RNA, 850 nt
Organism: Fopius arisanus
Lineage: Eukaryota; Metazoa; Arthropoda; Insecta; Hymenoptera; Braconidae
Exons: 2
Source: RefSeq, a predicted model, not a curated record